Molecule: ribosomal RNA, 1982 nt
Filed under: Salmonella enterica subsp. enterica serovar Montevideo
Lineage: Bacteria; Pseudomonadati; Pseudomonadota; Gammaproteobacteria; Enterobacterales; Enterobacteriaceae
Description: partial 23S ribosomal RNA
Rfam family: Bacterial large subunit ribosomal RNA
Source: RNAcentral
CGGGAGACACACGGCGGGUGCUAACGUCCGUCGUGAAGAGGGAAACAACCCAGACCGCCAGCUAAGGUCCCAAAGUCAUGGUUAAGUGGGAAACGAUGUGGGAAGGCCCAGACAGCCAGGAUGUUGGCUUAGAAGCAGCCAUCAUUUAAAGAAAGCGUAAUAGCUCACUGGUCGAGUCGGCCUGCGCGGAAGAUGUAACGGGGCUAAACCAUGCACCGAAGCUGCGGCAGCGACGCUGAUGCGUUGUUGGGUAGGGGAGCGUUCUGUAAGCCUGCGAAGGUGGCCUGUGAGGGUUGCUGGAGGUAUCAGAAGUGCGAAUGCUGACAUAAGUAACGAUAAAGCGGGUGAAAAGCCCGCUCGCCGGAAGACCAAGGGUUCCUGUCCAACGUUAAUCGGGGCAGGGUGAGUCGACCCCUAAGGCGAGGCCGAAAGGCGUAGUCGAUGGGAAACGGGUUAAUAUUCCCGUACUUGGUGUUACUGCGAAGGGGGGACGGAGAAGGCUAUGUUGGCCGGGCGACGGUUGUCCCGGUUUAAGCGUGUAGGUGUGUGUUCCAGGUAAAUCCGGUUCACUUUAACACUGAGGCGUGAUGACGAGGCACUACGGUGCUGAAGCAACAAAUGCCCUGCUUCCAGGAAAAGCCUCUAAGCAUCAGGUAACAUCAAAUCGUACCCCAAACCGACACAGGUGGUCAGGUAGAGAAUACCAAGGCGCUUGAGAGAACUCGGGUGAAGGAACUAGGCAAAAUGGUGCCGUAACUUCGGGAGAAGGCACGCUGACACGUAGGUGAAGUGAUUUACUCAUGGAGCUGAAGUCAGUCGAAGAUACCAGCUGGCUGCAACUGUUUAUUAAAAACACAGCACUGUGCAAACACGAAAGUGGACGUAUACGGUGUGACGCCUGCCCGGUGCCGGAAGGUUAAUUGAUGGGGUCAGCGCAAGCGAAGCUCCUGAUCGAAGCCCCGGUAAACGGCGGCCGUAACUAUAACGGUCCUAAGGUAGCGAAAUUCCUUGUCGGGUAAGUUCCGACCUGCACGAAUGGCGUAAUGAUGGCCAGGCUGUCUCCACCCGAGACUCAGUGAAAUUGAACUCGCUGUGAAGAUGCAGUGUACCCGCGGCAAGACGGAAAGACCCCGUGAACCUUUACUAUAGCUUGACACUGAACAUUGAGCCUUGAUGUGUAGGAUAGGUGGGAGGCUUUGAAGUGUGGACGCCAGUCUGCAUGGAGCCGACCUUGAAAUACCACCCUUUAAUGUUUGAUGUUCUAACGUGGACCCGUGAUCCGGGUUGCGGACAGUGUCUGGUGGGUAGUUUGACUGGGGCGGUCUCCUCCUAAAGAGUAACGGAGGAGCACGAAGGUUGGCUAAUCCUGGUCGGACAUCAGGAGGUUAGUGCAAUGGCAUAAGCCAGCUUGACUGCGAGCGUGACGGCGCGAGCAGGUGCGAAAGCAGGUCAUAGUGAUCCGGUGGUUCUGAAUGGAAGGGCCAUCGCUCAACGGAUAAAAGGUACUCCGGGGAUAACAGGCUGAUACCGCCCAAGAGUUCAUAUCGACGGCGGUGUUUGGCACCUCGAUGUCGGCUCAUCACAUCCUGGGGCUGAAGUAGGUCCCAAGGGUAUGGCUGUUCGCCAUUUAAAGUGGUACGCGAGCUGGGUUUAGAACGUCGUGAGACAGUUCGGUCCCUAUCUGCCGUGGGCGCUGGAGAACUGAGGGGGGCUGCUCCUAGUACGAGAGGACCGGAGUGGACGCAUCACUGGUGUUCGGGUUGUCAUGCCAAUGGCACUGCCCGGUAGCUAAAUGCGGAAGAGAUAAGUGCUGAAAGCAUCUAAGCACGAAACUUGCCCCGAGAUGAGUUCUCCCUGAGACUUUAGGUCUCCUGAAGGAACGUUGAAGACGACGACGUUGAUAGGCCGGGUGUGUAAGCGCAGCGAUGCGUUGAGCUAACCGGUACUAAUGAACCGUGAGGCUUAACCUUACAACGCCGAAG